RNAcentral lists this long non-coding RNA (637 nucleotides) under Solanum tuberosum (potato). Its description in RNAcentral is "long non-coding RNA (STUB_LNC007273)". The record is from RNAcentral. Lineage: Eukaryota; Viridiplantae; Streptophyta; Magnoliopsida; Solanales; Solanaceae.
UAAAAUAAGUGAAUCGGUCUAUUCCACCUUGUCACUUGAGUUUGACCUAUUUUAUUUUAACACUCUUAGAAACAGGUGGGUUAUGUGUUAAUUGAGUUCUUUUCUUUUUUUUGGUUAAAAGUUAUUGUUGUCAGUAGUCCAACUCAAUUAUAUUUGUAGCAUGCCAUUAAUUUUCAUUAAUGAAGUCUUUGUUCUUUAUUUCUAAUGGUCUUCUGUGAUUCAUUUCCCUUUAGGCUAUUGUUUCAAAAAUGUCAUAUUGCUUUCUCGUUUUCUUAUGAACUGUUAUGGGAACUACUUAUGUUCUUUUCUUCGUUUUGCAUGUGAAAUCUGCCCAAGUCCUCAUGGACUCCAUCUCCUAUAUUUGCAUUUCAAGAGAGCCAUAAAGGCUCAAAUUCCUUUAUCGAUUCAACCGGCCACUGAAAGUCGACGUACAGGUCCCGGAGUCGAAAAAAUGUUGGAGCAGAUUAGAGAAUUGAAAAGCUUGGGCCAAAGGCCCACUUUUAAUUCCAAAUGUAUUUUGUUAUCUAUUGGGCCUAAGCUGAUUUAGUCGCUAUUCUUAUUUUGUUAGAAGCCUAGGACAGGUGAAAAAUUGGGCCUAAGGCCCAAAGAAAAAAUAUCUUUUACAUUAGUAUAGGAC